This 394-nucleotide ribosomal RNA is filed under the name uncultured bacterium. RNAcentral describes it as "partial 16S ribosomal RNA". It matches the Rfam family "Bacterial small subunit ribosomal RNA", at positions 338 to 729 of the family's 1533-position model. The record is from RNAcentral.
CCUACGGGUGGCAGCAGUGAGGAAUAUUGGUCAAUGGACGAGAGUCUGAACCAGCCAAGUAGCGUGAAGGAUGACUGCCCUAUGGGUUGUAAACUUCUUUUAUAUGGGAAUAAAAUGUUCCACGUGUGGGAUUUUGUAUGUACCGUAUGAAUAAGGAUCGGCUAACUCCGUGCCAGCAGCCGCGGUAAUACGGAGGAUCCGAGCGUUAUCCGGAUUUAUUGGGUUUAAAGGGAGCGUAGGUGGUUGGUUAAGUCAGUUGUGAAAGUUUGAGGCUCAACCGUAAAAUUGCAGUUGAUACUGGUAGUCUAGAGUACAGUAGAGGUGGGCGGAAUGUGUGGUGUAGCGGUGAAAUGCUUAGAUAUCACGAAGAACACCGAUUGCGAAGGCAGCUUAC